GUUACUGUGCGGUUAGUGUGAAUGAUCCGCCGCCCGGUUCCUCCGGGCGGAAACAGCGCUGUGAGCAGCAUGGCUGAGACUAGCAGUGAGUCUGAGAGAUAGAGAGAGAGGCUGUGAGAUGCUGUGAGAUGAGGAUUAUGGCCAAUCUCCAAAAAAACUGGUACUCCAUACUUGGUGCGGCCCAAACUGAUGAUUUACAAGAGCUCAAACGGAAGUACCAGAGACUGGUCCUUGAGCUUCAUCCAGACAAGCAGAAGUCUGACCUAUCAGAGGAGGAGGCGGAGCUGCACCUGCAGAGGUUCAUAGAUGUGGAUCAGGCCUGGAAGGUGUUGAGCAAUGAGGAGAGCAGGAAGGCGUUUGACCUGCAGCUGCGUGCACAAGAACUGAAGCAAAGCUGGCCAGUUGAUGCCUGUAUUAAACUUGAGGACAUGGACUGGGACAGUGAGAAUGAGUGUUACUCCUACAGCUGCCGCUGUGGUGGGGAGUUUCACCUGGAGAAGGACGAGGCGGAGGAGGAAGAAGACUCAGUGGUGUGCUGCGAUACGUGCUCGCUCAGUAUUGAAGUGAAGAGCUGUAGAUGAUGUCUUCUGUCUACGCUCUUCUCUCUACACUCUUCUGUCUACAAAUAUAAAGGUGCUUCAGGGGAUCUGCGGGGUUACAUCAUUGGAAGAAGGUCACGGGUUGAUUAAGACUUCAAACAGAGUCAUUAGGCUGUUCGCUGAAAUCUGUCCUCUCCCAGAAGAAACGGCUCGAGUGGCGCAAAAAACCACGCUUUUCAUCAGCGUCCCCUCCUGGCGGCCCGGGCCGAAGCUGGACCUGCCAGUGGGCCUGCAGCGGACCGAAUCCUAAUCCAUACUGACAUCAAUUAGGGAUAAUCUCAUCACUUUUAGAGAGUGGGCUUGUCAAAGCUCUAAUUACGUCUGCUGUCCCCCCUAUAUGUGCAGACAGGAUCAACAACACAUUGUAGUCCGGUGAUGGGCAACAUCAUGCUAUUUUCGUAAAGGCCUAACUUUUCACCUGGUCUGCACUCUGGAUUUCUGACUGAACAGCAAACACCUCCUCUUUCUCCUCCUCCUCCUCCAGCUGUUUGUUUGUGUAAAGCAUUUUUGGUGGCUAAGUCUUUGGAUAUACUCAUUUAAGUAAUGAGAUUUCUGUGAAGAAUUGUGAAGAAAUAUUUUUUUAUGCUGCAUUUCAGUGGUGUCCAGUUUGUCAGUACAUGAGUUUCCCCACAUGGAAAAAUGUAUGGUCCCACUUUAUUAUAUGAGUCUCUAAUAACUGUGUAGUUACACAUUAACAAUCAUGUAAUAACAGUGUAACUACUAGUGAUGUGCACAUUGGUAGAGAUUUAUUAAAGUUGUACAGGUUAUGUAUUAGAGCAGCUCUUGUCUGGUAUGUAAUGGUAUGUAACUGACACAUAUGAGUAAUUACAUAACCUGUCCAACUGUAUUUAGUCUCUAAUAAUGUGUAAUUCAUUAGUAAUUACACUGCUAUUACAUGGAUUGUUAACAUGUAUGUAUAGAGUUAUUAGAGCUACUUAAUACAAAGUGUGACCUUGACUUUGAUAAAGCACAAAUUGACCAAGUUGUGAUUUAAAUGCUUUCUAACAUGGCCAGUAACUGUGUAGUUACACAUUAAUAGUCUAUGUAAUAACAGUGUAACUACUAGUGAUGUGCACAUUGGUAGAGAUUUAUUACAGUUGUACAGGUUAUGUAUUAGAGCAGCUCUUGUCUGGUAUGUAAUGGUAUGUAACUGAUACAUAUGAGUAAUUACAUAACCUGUCCAACUAUAUUUAGUCUCUAAUAAUGUGUAAUUCAUUAGUAAUUACACUGCUAUUACAUGGAUUGUUAACUUCUAUAUCUAUAGAGUUAUUAGAGGCAUUUAUUACAAAGUUUGACCUUGACUUUGAUGAAGCAACAAAUUGACCAGGUUGUGAUGUAAAUGCUUUCUAACAUGGCCAGUAACUGUGUAGUUACACAUUAAUAGUCUAUGUAAUAACAGUGUAACUACUGGUGAUGCAUGCAUUGUUACAGAUUCAUUACAGGUGUACAGGUUAUAAAACAGAAUUCUGUCAACAUUAAUAUUAAUGUGUGUUUAAUAGGGUACUUACAUGUGUCAUAGUGUGUUUAGAAUUAAGUCUGUAACAAUGUGUAAUUCAUUAGUAGUUACACUGUUAUUACAUGGAUUCUUAACAUAUGACUACACAGUUAUUAGAGGUGCUUAUAACAAAGUGGGACCUGGGCUUUUGAUGCAGCACAAAUUGACUAACUUGUAAAGUAAAUGCUUUCCAACACGCCCCAACAGUUAAACAACAUCAAAAAAAAAACGAUUAAUAGUCUGCUUUUCGUAUGGUAAUUCAGGUUUUAAAUUAUGAUUAAUCACAAUUUAAAAAUUCUCAUGGUUUCUUGUACCAUUAGGAGGGAGGAUAUUUGUGUGGUUCGCCUUGCAAACUGCUUAAAGUAAACAAUUAAAUAUUUUCAUAUCUCAGUGUAGUUUUGUUGAUGCUGUUCUUAUUAAAACUGUAGUUAUUAAAAUGUUUACCUGUAAUGCUGUCUACUCCCAACUUCCAGCGUAAAUGUACAGGGGUUGGGCAAUGCAACUGAAACACCUAGUUUUAGACCACAAUAAUUUAUUGUGGUGACGGACGGUUCUGGUGGAAACAGGAGAGUUGAGGUGCACAUUGAAUUCUGCCGUGAUUUGAUCAGCCGUUGUUUUAUGUUUUUUGGAUACAAUCCAGGUUAGCACCCGACCAUCCCUUUCAGACAGCUUCCUCUUACAGCGUCCACAGUUAAUCCUGUUGGAUGUGGUUGGUUCUUUUUGGUGGUAUGCUGACAUUACCCUGGAUACCGUGGCUCUUGGUGCAUCACAAAGACUUGAUGUCUUGGUCACAGAUGCGGCAGCAAGACGUGCACCAACAAUUUGUCCUCUUUUGAACUCUGGUAUGUCACCCAUAAUGUUGUGUGCAUUGCAAUAUUUUGAGCAAAACUGUGCAAAACUCUUACCCUGCUAAUUGAACCUUCACACUCUGCUCUUACUGGUGCAAUAAUGUGCAAUUAAUGAAGAUUGGCCACCAGUCUGUUCCAAUUUAGCCAUGAAACCUCCCACACUAAAAUGACAGGUGUUUCAGUUUCAUUGUCCAACCCCUGUAAUUCUGUAUUAUUUGUCACAUUGCAAUGACAUAGUAAGAACAGUAGAAGUAGAGCGGUAGAGCACUCUCUUCUACUAUGUGCAGGACCUCUGAUUAGUGUUAACAGAGCAUUUUAAAGCUUAACAGUACUUAAAGCUCCACUAGGUAGGAUUGAGAUUUUGUGCUCGUGGGCUCCCCCUACAGGUGUAGAGUGUAAUAAAUGUUUCAGGCGGAUUAGUUUCUUUUUCUCGUUUUCUGGCUUUCACAGACAUAUUUGGUGUCUUUCCAGCUUCUGCCAGAGUGUCUGUAUGUUAGGUUGUAAAGAAUGAACCAGUAGUCCUUGUAAAACUGUUAGAACUAAAGGUCGGAAAGCAGGUCGCAGUUUUUGCGAGCGUUGAUCGCGGCCGCCUCGGAAAACUUACAGUCUGGCUUGAGCUCAGAGGAGCUCCGGCACAGACACGAGAGCACCGCCAUCCAUCCUAUUACACCUUAAUGCAGCGCUGCAGUAAGUUUCUAGCUGUAAUUUUACUUCUUUAAAAAGAUAAAAAAAUCAGGGAAAUCCUACCUAGUGCUGCUUUAAAGAAACAAAACCACUAUAAUAUAACAGCAUUUGUAACAGAGUAAAAUCCAACUGGACACAUUUUACAUUUAUAAUCGACGCAGGCUUUCAAUUAGCCACCUUAAUUUCUUUGUGAGAAAACGGUAGUAAAAAGUUUAGCACAUCAGCAGGUGAGCCUAGCCCGGCAUGACCUCAGAUGCUUAAUGUAUUUUCUCACAUUAUUGGAGGCGUGGAAGUCCCGUCGUGCCCUGGUGUGUGUGUGUGUGUGUGUGUGUGUGUGAGAAUGGCAGCGGUAACCUUAAACCCCCGUCAAGUGAGAACCGGCGGGUUUCACUGAUCUCCCACUCACUUCACAGGUAUCCCUGAAAAGCGUUUCCCUCAAAAGAGGGCCUGGUGCUCGGAGGUGGAGGGGCAGAAAGCCACUCUUUUUCUUUUAAUUAACUUUCUUCUCGUUCUUUAUCCUCCUGUUCUCCUUGAACUCAGCCAUAAUCUCAGGCAGACAAAAGAAGACCCUCCCUUCCCUCCCGCUCCCAGUUCAUAUCCCAGCCCAAAUCUUUAAAAUAGUUUCCCUGUUUUGGCCAAGACUGCAAAUGCAAUUGUGUCCCUGGGCUCAUAGGUGUUAGCCACACAAAAGUUGGCCCCUGCCAGCAUCAGCAGGUGUUGCCUGUUGAUUGGCUAAUCAUCUGCAAGAAAGAGGAGAACUCAGACUGUUGCAUCUCUUUUUUUGUUUUUGUCUUUUGUCUUAUUUUUAAAGGAACAAUAAGUGAUAAAUGUGAGUGAGUGUGUGAAAUGGCUACAGGAUAGAGUGAAUAGAAGCUCACACAGUGAAUACAAGUGUUACUCUAACGCUGAUCAGUGUGUAUACAGCUCUGGGGAAAAAAUGAAGAGACCACUUCAGUUUCUGAAUCAGUUUCUCUGAUUUUGCUAAUUAUAGGUUUAUGUCUGAGUAAAAUGAACAUUGUUUUAUUCUAUAAACUGCAGACAACAUUUCUCCCAAAUUCCAAAUAAAAUAUUCUCAUUUAGAGCAUUUAUUUGCUUAAAAGUGAGAAAUGGUUAAAAUAUAAAAAAAAUAAUAAUGCAAAGAAAACAAGUUCAUAUUCAGGUUUUAAAAGUUCAGAAAUCAAAAUUUGAUGAAAUAACCCUGGUUUUUAUUCACAAUUGUCAUGUAUAUUGGCAUGUUCUCCUCCACCAGUCUUUUGGAUAACUUUAUGCCUUUACUCCUGGUGCAAAACUUCAGCUGCAGUUCGGCUUGGUCUGAUGGCUUGUGAUCAUCCGUCUACCUCUUGAUUAUAUUCAAUUGUUUUCAAUUUGGUAAAAUCAAAGAAACUCAUCACUUUUAAGAACUGUAAAUACUGUACAUACAGUGGCGUGAAAAAGUAUUUGUCCCCCUACAGGUUUCUUUUGUUUUUGCUUUUUUUCCUCAUACCUACAUUUUUUAGAUUAUCAAACAAAAUUUAAUAUCAGACAAGAAGAUAACCUGAGUAAAUAUAUAAAAACUCUUUUUGAAUUACAAUUGAACAAUCUAGCCCUGUGUAAAAAAGUGGUUCCAUCUAUUACCGCAAGUUGUCCAGGUCCUGAAACAACAAAGCAGGUAUGAUGUUCUUUUUCUGAGAUUGUGUGUUCCAAAAAGUUCCACAUUUGUCACAUCAGUUCAAAGAAUAUUUAUGCAAAGUUAUGGCGAUCAUCAAGAUGUUUUUUUGGCAAAUGCAAGAUGGGCCGUUGAGUUCCUUCUAGUCAGCCCUGUUUUUUUUUUUUUUUUUUUAAUAAUUUCAGUCAGCCGUCCCACUCCUGGGAAGGUUUCACAAAGGUUUUGGUUGGUUUGUAUAGUUUUUUUCCUUCAAUAAAUAUAUAUAUUUGUCUGAUAUUAAAUUUUGUUUAAUAAUCUAAAAAAUGAAAAAGUCUGCAAUAGAAAACUGCAAAAACAUAAGAAAUCUGUAAGGACGCAAAAACAUUUUCACACCACCGUAUAUCACACGCUAACGCACAUUGAAAUCCCAAAAAUUGCAAGUGUAUUGACAAUCAAAAAUAUUGGUUUCUGUAAGCAAUAGUAAAUGUACCAAGCUCAUCACCUACUACAGAUUGUAACCCCACAACUAACCUUUUUAAUACCCAGAUCACUCUUCUAGAACCAAUGUUUGGAUUUGUGUGUUUGGGCUGUUUUCUCUUUGUAUUAAUGUGUCAAAAGCCUUGGCUAACAAAGACUGCCUGUCCUCUGCUCAACCAAGCAUUAAUGUUUACCAUAAAGAUCAGCGAGAGGGAUUCAGAGGUUUAAUUCGGACUUCCGCACUGAAUCCUGAGAGUAAACAGAGUCAGAUGGCUGUUUGAUUCCUGCCUUCAGCAGCUGUGGUGUUGAGGAAAUGGCUAAUAUGUAGCUUAACCGCUAGUGCUUGACGGCUCUAAUUCUAAUGCCUAAUUAAAUAAAAAACAGUAAAACAGUGUAAAAAAAAAACAUUUGGGUAUUAGUUUGUUAUUCCUACUGAGAGUGAAGAUUAAAGACAAGUGUCUUCACUAAAUAAUCCCUUAAUAAUCCCUUAAAGGCAUAAUUUGACCUUGCAUUCAAACCUGUUAACUUUAUCACUGGAGAUUUUUUUU
Molecule: RNA transcript, 6275 nt
Organism: Astyanax mexicanus (Mexican tetra)
Lineage: Eukaryota; Metazoa; Chordata; Actinopteri; Characiformes; Acestrorhamphidae
Gene: dnajc24
Gene name: DnaJ (Hsp40) homolog, subfamily C, member 24
Exons: 6
Source: RefSeq, a predicted model, not a curated record